UUUUGGGAUUCAGCUGGAUGGAAUGCUCUGGUGAAUGUUGAUCGGACAAAGAGACAGUUACAGAUGAUCUUGGAAGGAAGAGUUCCCACUGGAACAAACUUACACAGUUUCAAUCCUGACUGGGAUGUUUGCAACUAUCCUGUUAUUCCGGAAAAUGUAAUUCAUGGAGUUGCAUUCAUAUUCAACAUCGACAUCGUAGACUGGAUCAGUGAUGAUAAAAUGAAAGAGUUUCAGGAGUUACAGACGAUCGUGGCACAGAAAUUUUGAGAAGUUGGCAGAAUGCACUGGGAUGGAGAGGCAUUCCAUGUUUGUGGUUUCAAAUCAGUGGAGAGGUGAACGGAUCGAGAUGAUAAAAUGCAUCCUGGCCCUGUAUGUUCUGGAUAAUAUGGUCAGAAAUAUUGACCGAUUUCUCAAAGCAGUGUAAUGAUCACAGCUGACCUUGUCCAGUGCUGUGAAUCCGAUCCAGUUUCAGGAGCACAGACACCGCUGUGGGAUUGAUAUUUUUAUUGUUUUCCCUGUAGUUUUAGCAUUCUUUAUGCUUGUUUAUAUAUUUGUACAAUCACCUGCUUGUCCAUAGACUUUCAGUAACUUGUUGUAUCAGUAGUUCCAUUCUUCUGUAGUUGCUAUCCUUGCAAAGUUGAAGGGGGAGUCAGUGAGUAUCUGCUGAAAUGGUUUCUCAAAUAAACUGGCUCAGCCCACU
Molecule: long non-coding RNA, 700 nt
Organism: Mobula hypostoma (lesser devil ray)
Lineage: Eukaryota; Metazoa; Chordata; Chondrichthyes; Myliobatiformes; Myliobatidae
Exons: 3
Source: RefSeq, a predicted model, not a curated record